Molecule: unclassified non-coding RNA, 148 nt
Organism: Macaca fascicularis (crab-eating macaque)
Lineage: Eukaryota; Metazoa; Chordata; Mammalia; Primates; Cercopithecidae
Rfam family: Metazoan signal recognition particle RNA
About the family: The signal recognition particle (SRP) is a universally conserved ribonucleoprotein. It is involved in the co-translational targeting of proteins to membranes. The eukaryotic SRP consists of a 300-nucleotide 7S RNA and six proteins: SRPs 72, 68, 54, 19, 14, and 9.
Source: Ensembl
GCUGGGUGUGGUGGUGUGCACCUGUAAUCACAGCUACUCGGGAGGCUGAGGCAGGAGAAUCACUUGAACUCAGGAGGCAGAGGUUGCAGUGAGCAGAGAUCGUGCCACUGCACUUCAGCCUGGGUGACAGAGUGAGACUCUGUCUCAA